GGUGCCAUGGUUUAGCUGGCUAACGCACCUGUCUCAUAAACAGGAAAUCCUUGGUUCAAGUCCCAGUACUGCCU
Molecule: transfer RNA, 74 nt
Filed under: Pelodiscus sinensis (Chinese soft-shelled turtle)
Lineage: Eukaryota; Metazoa; Chordata; Testudines; Trionychidae
Rfam family: tRNA
About the family: Transfer RNA (tRNA) molecules are approximately 80 nucleotides in length. Their secondary structure includes four short double-helical elements and three loops (D, anti-codon, and T loops). Further hydrogen bonds mediate the characteristic L-shaped molecular structure. tRNAs have two regions of fundamental functional importance: the anti-codon, which is responsible for specific mRNA codon recognition, and the 3' end, to which the tRNAs corresponding amino acid is attached (by aminoacyl-tRNA synthetases). tRNAs cope with the degeneracy of the genetic code in two manners: having more than one tRNA (with a specific anti-codon) for a particular amino acid; and 'wobble' base-pairing, i.e. permitting non-standard base-pairing at the 3rd anti-codon position.
Source: Rfam by way of RNAcentral